This is a long non-coding RNA of Chelonia mydas (Green sea turtle), 4343 nucleotides long. RefSeq lists it as uncharacterized. NCBI's taxonomy places the organism in Eukaryota, Metazoa, Chordata, Testudines, Cheloniidae. The record is from RefSeq and is a predicted model, not a curated record. The transcript has 2 exons.
GUUUCUGUAAAGAAGAGAAUCUGAUUAAUCAAGAUUCCUUCUCCUGCUCUACAAGGCUCUUAAAAACAAUGCAGCGUAUCACAGUGACUUUAAAUCCCCACCACAUUCCCUGGGGCAUCAGGUAGCUCCACAGAUCUUGUGGAGAGUCCUAUUUUUAUACCAUCGAGGACUUCUUGCUUUUGAAUGUGGGGUGAAUGGAAAGAAAGCUGACAAGCUGGUUCUAAGCAUUAUGACCUACAUCAUGGGUCCUUCUGGCUGGUCGUGAAGCCUGAUUGCCCCCUGUUCUUGGUUGUAUAUUAAGAACUACACAUUCCACCAGCUGAGGUCGGCACUUAGGCUGGCACUCCCAUUUUCCUCCUCAAGUAGCAGCAAGGGGGCCUGCAGUGUUCUCAGAAACUGUCUGUCGACUCUCUUUUCAUUCUCUGGGCAAGCUUGCUAGAGCAUCUGGGAACAUGGUGCUAGAACAGCUGGUGUGUACCACAAAUGGAGGAAGCACAUCUCUAGAUGGUUUGAGUGGGCAGCAGAUGUCAGCCUAGUAAGUGCUUUCAUUUCAGUGGAAAUCUCCUAAAGGAGCCUCUCUUCCUCCGCAUUGCAUUCCUGAACCAGCACUGCCUGACUCCAUUUCGCUGAGCACAGCACUGGCAUGUAUUUUGUUCCUUUUAAAACAGAGAAAUAGAACUUAGCAUUUCUCCUCUUCUGCCUGUGUCUGAUUCCAGCAGAAGUAAACAGGCAGGGAAGGGGAGGGCAAGCUGCUCUCGGCGGUGGACAGAAGCAGCCAUUAGCUUGAUAUGAUUGUUGUCAAUAUCACGUCAGAAGGAUGGGAGAGACCAGACUGAUGUAAGGAGAAAGAGGAAGUGAAACAGUUUGGCAUUAGAGUGAUCUGUGCUGCCCACCCCCAUGAGUGAAGAGGAAUGAGACAUCUCCUCCUCUGUCUGCACAGCAGGGCCUAGAGGUCUUGUCUUUGCCCACUAGCAGGAGUGGAGCGUGCUGGCUCAAUACGAGCCAUGACCACGAUGAUUCACUCUGCGGCCAAGUUCCUGGAUGUGGAAAUUUUUCCUCCUCCACCACUUCUUCCUCCUCCUGCUGCUGCUGGGCAGCUGCAGACAAAGGUGAGUCACCCAUGUGGAUGGCUAGGGAGCUGAGUGGGCCACAGGCAUGAAAAGGAGAAAGACUGAGGUAGAUGGACACCACCUAAGGCUAGGGCAAGUUCUCUGUGUUUCCUGGCUAGACAGUUUUCCCUUCUUCCUGAUCCAAGGUCUAAGGAUUAAACACCUGCAUCCACAAAGGUCUGUCCAAUGAUAGAAGAAGGCAGCAGGUCCAAGUCCCCAGAAACUGCUGCAAUGAGGGGAGGUCCUACAUGGCAUCAAAGGUGUGCACCUGGGUUUGGUUUACUGUAGACCGUGCAUGCAGGGGGAGCAUUGCUGAUUUUUUUCUCCAUGAAUUGUCUCAGGCUGCAGGGAUCCAGGCUGGAUUAAGAAACCCAUCAGUGAUGCAUCCUUUCAGAAGCACCUCCUGUUUCUCUUUGUGUUCCAAGACCCUCCUAAAUUCCCAGCAUCAUCGGUGCUGGGCUUGGUUUCAGGUCCCCACUGGCCUCUCUCUCCAUAUCAGUGGCUGAGGGCUUGUUCCUUCCAGUGAGGGUAGAAUGCAGAGCUGAGGUCUCAGUUACUCUGCCUGGGACUGAGAUUUCUCAGAACUGAAGACACCUUUUCUAGCUUUUCCUCAUUUUGUAAGAUAUUCCAUGCUAAUUAUCAGCUUAAACAGACAAGAAACAGGAGUUCAACAACUGAGGAUAAAGUUCCCUUAUGCUCACUUGCUGAAACACAUGCAGCAGGGCAUGUAACAAGAGCUAUGGGGAAACAAAACAAAAAACAAACAAAAAAAACCUUCAACCCUGAUGGGAAAAGAAAUCCUGUUUUCAGCAGUUGUGCAAGGACGGGCAGUUUGUGGUUUAUUGUCAAAAUUCUAUCACUGAUCUCCCCAAAGCAAGAGACAGCUCUAAUAGGCAAAAUGGGGGCAGUUCCUGUGUGAAGACAAUAGAGAAGCCUCACUAGAGACAACUGGGUGUUAGCAUUCCCAGCAUCCACUGUCACUGUGGAAACAGCUUUUUGUUUAGUGGGGAGUAAGGGAAACUGAGGCAAAAAUUGCAAAACACUGGCUGAAAAGGCAGUUUUGCCCUCCAGUGAAUGCAUGUUUCAGCUGACCCAUUCAAAAUACUCUUACAGUUCACAUGGGACAGUUCAGAGAAGCAGGAGCUAGUACCUUUGCCCAGUGCUCUAAGUAACAUCCUGCACAGAUCUGUGAGCCAGUGACACUGGGAUGAGUCACUUGGGGAGCAAGAGCCUGUACCAUGAGUGGCUGGGCUUUUGCGGGUUUGCAUCAGACUUCCACUGGUAAUGAGAAGUCAGGUUUAAGCCACGUUCUUGUGGUGGGAGAGGGGCCUGGAGGCAGGCACAGAGUUAGAAUUCCUCCUGGAGUUCUAGGGGAAGAGCCGUGGGCUCAGGGCCUGGUGAUCAUUCCCAGAUCUUACAGUAUCCCAGCUAAGAGCUAAUGGAGCUUCAGCGAGAUGUCAACUCAUUGGCCCCGAUCCUGAGGCUCUUAACUUCCAUGGAUUGGAGUGGAAUUUAGAGGAGCCUAAAUGCUUUGGAGGAUCUGGGCCAUUGUGGCUCCAGAGCAAACCCACUGGCUGCAUCGCUGGGUAGGGGAAGUGCUGCGUAUACUGACAUUUAUACAUGGGUUACAGUCCUCUCUCUCCAGAGAACAGGAAUCAGAGUCUGACCUGAUUAUAUUUGUACAGCAGGAAGAGGAGCAGCAGGAGAAGCAGGACCAAUAUUCCCACAAAGGCGGAGAGAAUGGGGUUGAAGAGCUCAUGUGAGCGCAUCCAUGUUCUUCCUAGAGGAACAAAGGAAGGAUGGUGAGAACCAGCCGUUCAGAUGUUUACUUCACUAGAGCGUCAUCCAUGCUAGCAUUUUACCCAACCAGGAACAAAUGCCAACUCAGAGGGAACUGACUCACCAGAAGGAACAAGUGCUAAACCAGCCCAGCUCAUUACAGGGACAGGAACAAGCUCUCAAGCAGCUCAUCCAUUACUUCUUCCCUUUGGACAGGCCUAUGGCAGAAUGUGCAAAAUGCCAGCAAACCAACCAGUGAAAACCACAGGUAACAAAGCACAGCACUGCUGAUGGGACUGGAAUGCCGGUGGACCUGGGAUACCUGAGCUGUGAUAGUCUAGAUUAGUGUAUGAUCCUAUCACCCCCAGUGGCUGGUCCCAGCAACUACAACAGGCUGCUAAAUGCGGACGGCUAAUAGCCUUAUUCCUCGCCUAGCCCUUAACUCUGAAAAAAUUCCUAUCAUGUUACCACCAGAUCAAAUUUGGGAGGGAGGAGGAAAGGCUAGUGUAGACUCAGCUUCCAUAGUAGGGCCUGUGCUUUCGCGACUGAAGACCCCGGGUUCUUCCCUUCUGGUGACUUUGGUCACGGGUCACUGGCACGUUGGGGAAAGAGAUGCUGAAGUUCUUACAAUAAGUAAGUGCCAGAGUCACUUUUAGGAAGGCUUUAAGGGAAGCUGAUGGCUGCAGCAAACCUCUGGCCCAUGGGGGCUAUUGCUGGUGGUUGUUUCUCCUAAGAUGUGAUGGCCGAUACUGCUCCAUCUCCAGUAGCAAUGUUAGCAUCCCAGAACCUAAACACAUCAUACUCAGUACCACAGCAUAAUCGCCUAGCCUCAUUUCAGGCUGGCACUGCGCCUGUUCAGCUGGAGCCCAUUUCACCAGAUGCCAGGCAUUGCUACCCAGGUAACUGACAUCAAAGAGCCAGAGGGCAAAAGCACGGCACCCUAACUGAGCCUGGUGCGGCAGAAAGAUGUAAUGAGGGCUCCUGGAGCAUCGCCAGUAAACUCACCCUGCUAUCACUCAGAAGCAUAACAUGAUCAUAUAAGGCUACCAGGUUAAGGAGAGAAGAGAGACAAGGUCACCACGGGACGUGCUCAGACACUACGGAUAGACAGUCCACAACAUGAGGGUGACAACUCAUCACAUACCAGGUCUUCCACAUAAAAAGCAAUUUUACUGAGGCUACCAAACCUUGCUCAGUGUUCCUGGGAACCAAUUCAACAGAUAGAGCAGUGAUACUCAGACUGUGGCUCGGGAGCUGCAAGUGGCUCUUUAAUGUGUCUCCUGCGGCUCUUUGCAGCACGUGAUGUUUAAACACUGUGUCGUUUAAUUAGUAGUCAAUCUCAGUUAUUAACCAGCCAGGAUGCUUUUACUAUGUUGUUAAUCAAUUGUAGAACACUUGGUCAGUCACUCUGCUGUAAGAAUAAUAUAGCUACAAAUAAAAAUAGUAAAGGAAACA